Molecule: ribosomal RNA, 503 nt
Filed under: uncultured bacterium
Lineage: Bacteria
Description: partial 16S ribosomal RNA
Rfam family: Bacterial small subunit ribosomal RNA
Source: RNAcentral
GAUGAACGCUAGCGGCAGGCCUAACACAUGCAAGUCGAGGGGUAGCAGGAUUAAGCUUGCUUAAUUGCUGACGACCGGCGCACGGGUGCGUAACGCGUAUGCAACCUACCUUAUACUGGGGUAUAGCCCGGAGAAAUUCGGAUUAAUCCCCCAUAGUACUAAUGAAUCGCAUGGUUUAUUAGUUAAAGCAUUGCGGUAUAAGAUGGGCAUGCGUCCUAUUAGCUAGAUGGUGAGGUAACGGCUCACCAUGGCUACGAUAGGUAGGGAGCCUGAGAGGGUGGUCCCCCACACUGGUAAUGAGACCCGGACCAGACUCCGACGGGAGGCAGCAGUGAGGAAUAUUGGUCAAUGGGCGCAAGCCUGAACCAGCCAUGCCGCGUGCAGGAAGAAUGCCCUAUGGGUUGUAAACUGCUUUUAUUUGGGAAUAAACCUCUUUACGUGUAGAGAGCUGAAGGUACCAAAUGAAUAAGCACCGGCUAACUCCGUGCCAGCAGCCGCAGUAA